CGCGCUUGCCAUACGCCUCUUGAUUAUUCAUAAUAAUUACUAUUAUGGUUCUGUUAUGCUACACCCUUGGGCAUGGGGAACACGAGUAGCUAGUGAUUGAAUCAUCUCUGAAGUGUGAAUUGCAAUGACCCUUGUUUGCCUCUUGAUUAUUAAUCCAGUAUAAUAUGCUACUGUUAAACCCUUGGGCUUAGAAAACCCCAAAAAGGUAGUGAUUGAAUGAUCUAUGAACUACAAUUUCCAGUGCCAUGUUUCUUGACUGUUGAUGAUCAUAAUAUGGUUCUGUUAGGUUCAGAGAACUCGAGAAAGUAUUAGUUGAAUGAUCUGUAAAUUGCAAUUGCCCUUUUCUUUGGUUCACAUAAAGAUUCUAAAGGCUCAUUCACAACUGUAUUUAAUAGUUGGUGGGAUUAUGUAUUCUAAAAUAUUGUUGAAAAUCAUCAUUCAUCUACUACUAGCCACUUAUAAUGAGGAACAUGGUGUAAAAGGUUAUGGUGAACUGUCUAAGAUUUAGUUGUGACGAGAUGUUGCUUUCCUUGUAUUACUGAGUGCCACUUAUUGAUUAACAAUAAUAACUCUUAAUUUGGUUUUGAGAUGUUGUUUCCCCUAGGUUUGCUUCAAUAUUGUUUGGAAGUGCAGACCGCUCACUGAGGAUGAAUUUUUUCCUGCCAUUGAAGAGAACUACUAUAUCUCAAAGAAGUUCUACUUCGACCUUUCCUACCAGCAGUGUGUGCGCAUGCUCAACAGUCGAUGUUAAGAAGAGCUUCCUUCAUGAGCUUAGUUUGAUUUGGCCCGGUUUUGAUGCCUCUGCAGUGUGUGCGCAUGCUCAACAGGUACAGUCGCAACAACUCAAUUUCUUCAGAUGUGGCAUAGGAAGUCAUGUCCUCAUGUGCUACUAUUUCUAGAGCAUGCCGAAGCAGGCGAUGUGUCAUGUCCCGUGCGGCAGCCUCCCCAAUCCGCCUCGGCACCCACAUCAAGUCCUCUCGGUCUACCUCCUCCAUCGUGUAGCAUGGCUUUGAGCGGCCAGGUGUCCCAGAUUGACAGCGACGGCAGCAUGAGGGUGUGAUAAAAUAAUAAUUAGCAGUAACAUGCACUAAUAUGAGGUUUAGCACCAGGGGUAACUUUAUGCAAUCACACUUAGUAAGUAGCAUUUUCUGUUGCUCUAUGAUUUUUAUGUGGGUAAUGGUGAUCUCUAUACAGACUAUAGAUGAUGUUGAAGUACAUGUCACACUGAAAAAGAACAUGCCUGAGAUAAGGCCAUGGAACCUUCAUGUGGUGCAUACUAGGGACAAGAAAUGCUAUGCUAUAAAAGGUUUUUGAGCAGAGGUACUAGCAGUUGGAUGCUCCAUGCCACCACUUUGGUUAAUUGCUUGCAAUUGGAAGGAAUAUUGUUAGGUCGAGAGAGAAUUAUGGCAAAAGAUGAAGAUGUGGGCUCUUCGGUUAGUUUUGCUUAAGAUCACGGAAGCUUGGGUUGAUGGAGUGCUU
This is an RNA transcript of Triticum dicoccoides, 1479 nucleotides long. RefSeq lists it as uncharacterized. Lineage: Eukaryota; Viridiplantae; Streptophyta; Magnoliopsida; Poales; Poaceae. The record is from RefSeq and is a predicted model, not a curated record. The transcript is spliced from 4 exons.